GAGCUUGACUCUCCCUC
This 17-nucleotide unclassified non-coding RNA is filed under the name Tylodelphys immer. Its description in RNAcentral is "partial external transcribed spacer". The record is from RNAcentral. Lineage: Eukaryota; Metazoa; Platyhelminthes; Trematoda; Diplostomida; Diplostomidae. RNAcentral also lists the same sequence under 2 other names.